Molecule: ribosomal RNA, 373 nt
Filed under: uncultured organism
Description: partial 16S ribosomal RNA
Rfam family: Bacterial small subunit ribosomal RNA
Source: RNAcentral
GUAGGUGGCAAGCGUUGUCCGGAAUUAUUGGGCGUAAAGCGCGCGCAGGGCGGUCCUUUAAGUCUGAUGUGAAAGCCCACGGCUCAACCGUGGAGGGUCAUUGGAAACUGGGGGACUUGAGUACAGAAGAGGAAAGCGGAAUUCCAAGUGUAGCGGUGAAAUGCGUAGAGGUUUGGAGGAACACCAGUGGCGAAGGCGGCUUUCUGGUCUGUAACUGACGCUGAGGCGCGAAAGCGUGGGGAGCAAACAGGAUUAGAUACCCUGGUAGUCCACGCCGUAAACGAUGAGUGCUAAGUGUUAGGGGGUUUCCGCCCCUUAGUGCUGCAGCUAACGCAUUAAGCACUCCGCCUGGGGAGUACGGCCGCAAAGGCUG